RNAcentral lists this transfer RNA (70 nucleotides) under Nemipterus randalli (Randall's threadfin bream). RNAcentral's name for it is "tRNA-Met". It matches the Rfam family "tRNA". From Rfam's summary of the family: Transfer RNA (tRNA) molecules are approximately 80 nucleotides in length. Their secondary structure includes four short double-helical elements and three loops (D, anti-codon, and T loops). Further hydrogen bonds mediate the characteristic L-shaped molecular structure. tRNAs have two regions of fundamental functional importance: the anti-codon, which is responsible for specific mRNA codon recognition, and the 3' end, to which the tRNAs corresponding amino acid is attached (by aminoacyl-tRNA synthetases). tRNAs cope with the degeneracy of the genetic code in two manners: having more than one tRNA (with a specific anti-codon) for a particular amino acid; and 'wobble' base-pairing, i.e. permitting non-standard base-pairing at the 3rd anti-codon position. Lineage: Eukaryota; Metazoa; Chordata; Actinopteri; Spariformes; Nemipteridae. The record is from RNAcentral.
AGUAGGGUAAGUUAUUUUAAACUCCUGGGCCCAUACCCCAACAAAGCAGGUUAAACUCCCGCCUCUACUA